RNAcentral lists this ribosomal RNA (429 nucleotides) under Verrucomicrobiota bacterium. RNAcentral's name for it is "Verrucomicrobia bacterium partial 16S ribosomal RNA". It matches the Rfam family "Bacterial small subunit ribosomal RNA", at positions 355 to 776 of the family's 1533-position model. The record is from RNAcentral. Lineage: Bacteria; Pseudomonadati; Verrucomicrobiota.
UAGGGAAUCUUCCGCAAUGGACGAAAGUCUGACGGAGCAACGCCGCGUGAGUGAAGAAGGAUUUCGGUUCGUAAAACUCUGUUGUUAGGGAAGAAAAAAUGUAUAGUAACUAUAUACAAAAGAGACGGUACCUAACCAGAAAGCCACGGCUAACUACGUGCCAGCAGCCGCGGUAAUACGUAGGUGGCAAGCGUUGUCCGGAAUUAUUGGGCGUAAAGCGCGCGCAGGUGGUUUGUCACGUCGUCUGUGAAAUCCUAGGGCUUAACCCUGGACGUGCAGGCGAUACGGGCUGACUUGAGUACUACAGGGGAGACUGGAAUUUCUGGUGUAGCGGUGGAAUGCACAGAUAUCAGGAAGAACACCGAUGGCGAAGGCAGGUCUCUGGGUAGUAACUGACGCUGAGGAGCGAAAGCAUGGGUAGCGAACAGG